CAGGGCAGCAUAUGGGCUGCUGAAGGAGUUUAACUCCAUCUCUGCCAGACCCUGUUUGGGUAUUUCUGAAUGCACUUGGGUACUCUCAGGGGGUUGAACACAGAGGCAGCGUGGGCUGGAGAAGGCUGGCUGUCAAUUGGCAAGCUUCUACUGGGAGAAAAAGAUUACAAUCUGUGUAAAAGUUGCUGCAGAGGGAAUCUUAACCAAGGCAUCACAGGAAGCUCUGGGAAAUGCAGUUACUGGGGGAAGUUCUCAUCUGUCAACAAUUACAUGGAGACGAAGACAGCUGAUGUCUCCUUUUAGCCCGUGUGUGCCCGCCAGUAACGUGAUCGCAGUAAUGAGAAACCUUUUAAAGCAAAUAAUCCAUGUGGUUUUGAUAAGUAAACAACAAAUAAGCCAGCGAGAGGCUCCUUUGACUUUCAGGAAAGAAUAUUUGCAGUGUCCCUCUUGGACACGCGUGUUGCCCCCCUAUGAUCUGUGUGGAGUUAUAGGGAGGCCACCUCUCCCGGCCAUCUGCAGAGCUGGGCAUGGGUCUGGCUCCGUGGGCUGCUGGUGGUAAAUGGCUUACCAGGUGGUUUAUUGUCCAAUCAUAUAAGAAAGUUCUGAAGGAGCAACUGGAAUGAGCCUUCAAGCUGACCAUCCGACCUUCUUCCCAUGCAAACCAUGGUCCUCUGCUUCACCAAAGGAACAGCUGCGUUUGGAGCUUCUCUGACUUCACCUGGAGGGCCACAGUGCACUGGGGCUAUCGACUGGACUCUUCCUCUUGUCCUGGCACAGCUCAGUGGAUACCAGUCCCAGUCCUGCCUUUUUCACCAGGGCUCACCUGAAGGCUGCAGGAAGCUCGCAUCUGUCCACUGGAUUCUUCUUGUGGUGGUGCAGAGGCUCAGAGGACCCAGUCUCAGUCUUUCCCAUUUCCUCAGAGCUUGGGAAAGAAGAGGAGACAGUCAUGAAGAAGAAGAGAAUGAGAAAGCACUCCUGUCAGGUGACGUAAAGCUCGUGUUUGGUUACCAGGAGAAGUGAGUGUGUGAG
Molecule: long non-coding RNA, 1029 nt
Filed under: Gallus gallus (chicken)
Lineage: Eukaryota; Metazoa; Chordata; Aves; Galliformes; Phasianidae
Description: lncRNA (ENSGALG00010026563.1)
Source: RNAcentral